RNAcentral lists this unclassified non-coding RNA (22 nucleotides) under Dictyostelium discoideum. Lineage: Eukaryota; Evosea; Eumycetozoa; Dictyosteliales; Dictyosteliaceae. The record is from RNAcentral.
UCUCUUCGGAGGCGCAGGUUCA